RNAcentral lists this ribosomal RNA (255 nucleotides) under uncultured bacterium. RNAcentral's name for it is "partial 16S ribosomal RNA". It matches the Rfam family "Bacterial small subunit ribosomal RNA", at positions 524 to 776 of the family's 1533-position model. The record is from RNAcentral.
UACGAAGGGGGCUAGCGUUGCUCGGAAUCACUGGGCGUAAAGGGCGCGUAGGUGGCGGCCCAAGUCCAUGGUGAAAGCUCGAUGCUCAACAUCGAGUCGGCCACGGAUACUGGGUUGCUCGAGCACUGUAGGGGCAGAUGGAAUUCCUGGUGUAGCGGUGAAAUGCGCAGAUAUCAAGGAGGAACACCGGUGGCGAAGGCGGGUCUCUGGGCCGAUGACUGACGCUGAGGAGCGAAAGCGUGGGGAGCGAACAGG